AUUGAACGCUGGCGGCAGGCCUAACACAUGCAAGUCGAGCGAGCGGCGGACGGGUGAGUAAUGUCUGGGAAACUGCCUGACGGAGGGGGAUAACUACUGGAAACGGUAGCUAAUACCGCAUACCAUCAGAUGUGCCCCGAUGGGAUUAGCUAGUAGGUGGGGUAACGGGUCACCAAGGCGCCGAUCCCUAGCUGGUCUGAGAGGAUGACCAGCCACACUGGAACUGAGACACGGUCCAGACUCCUACGGGAGGCAGCAGUGGGGAAUAUUGCACAAUGGGCGCAAGCCGGAUGCAGCCAUGCCGCGUGUGUGAAGAAGGCCUUCGGGUUGUAAAGCACUUUCAGCGAGGAGGCGUUACUCGCAGAAGAAGCACCGGCUAACUCCGUGCCAGCCGCCGCGGUAAUUC
This 406-nucleotide ribosomal RNA is filed under the name uncultured bacterium. RNAcentral's name for it is "partial 16S ribosomal RNA". It matches the Rfam family "Bacterial small subunit ribosomal RNA", at positions 30 to 526 of the family's 1533-position model. The record is from RNAcentral.